GACGCGGCGUCGCCCGACGUCCUCGUGGUGACGUCAGACGUCCCCGAAGCGGCCACUUUUCUCCCCUUCCCGGGGCCGAGCCGAGAGGGCUGGGGGAAAUGAAGAAAGAGUGGCUCCUGCGCAUGCUCUGAAGCUAACAGCUUACUCCAGAGAAACUACUAUUCCCUUGAAGUUACAUAAUAGACUUCACAACAUAUCAUUUGUGUAGUUUUGUUUUCAGCUAUACCACCUUCUACCACUCCAAAGUGACCAAAGUGGGACCAUAAACUACCAAGCAAAACUCCCGAGUCCAUAGAUUAAUAUAUGGACUCUGACUCUGACCCUGAUGACCAUAGGAACUGUUCCAGCAACUGUGUGACUCGGUUAGGUAUAACAUCCAUUACACCUGAAGAAUCAUCUAGACAAUAGGCACGAAUUGUUGCAGUUUCCUUUCUAGGCCACUCCUGUAACUCUGGACUCUUAGCAGCAAUGGUGUUUAUUCCUGCUUGGAAUCAGCAUUUAUUCACUAGAUGAAGCCCAUCUCUUUCUCAUGAACAACUCUCAAGAAAAGAUCAUUGCUACCACCUUAAAUCAACAACUGUUAUACCAGCAGCAUCUAUCACCUGAUAACUCCAUGCCAAUGUCUCCAGUAUCCUCUCCUUUUCGUUCUUUUUUUCUUCUUCAAUUGUCAUCUGUGUGCCUUGGCAGGGGAAUGCCCUUCUGGUUUUGCAUUGCCUAUAAAGGAUAAAAAUCUAUAAAAAUCUGUGCUAUGAUUAGUCUGCAAUUGACCCAAUCCUCAAUAAUUUGAGGAAUGGUUGAAGAAGGAACUGUAACCAGAAAAUCAAUUAAUAGCUUAAUCAUUACUUGGAGUGUGAUUUUUAGAAUUAUAAGAUGUAAAUAGGUGAUUUGUAAUAAGAAUUUAGUCCCAAGAAAGAGUCUGUGUAUGUAGUACCUGAGUUAUAAUUUCAAGUAUGUAUUGUUAUAGUAAUUUUAAGUGUGUGCAUUAUAUUAAUCAUAAGUAGGUUACUAUAUUAGUCUUAAGUUUGCAAAUCCAUUUUACAAUGUACUUUAUACCAAACUAAUUCAUGUAAGAAGCUACAGGGAAGAAAAGGUCAUCAAAAGUCAUAGAGACCAGGAGGUCCAGAAAUGGUCUCUGAGACGUGUUGGAGACCUUUUGUGGGAGGUGGAGGACAGGCAUGAAACUAUAAAAGUGUGUGUUUUGCAGUUCAGGGUCUCAGAUUUAGCUGAGGAAUCUGCAGAUUUCUAGCCCUGUAACUGUUCUGCUCACAAUAAAACCAUAUCAUUACCCAGAA
Long non-coding RNA from Monodelphis domestica (gray short-tailed opossum), 1292 nucleotides. RefSeq lists it as uncharacterized. NCBI's taxonomy places the organism in Eukaryota, Metazoa, Chordata, Mammalia, Didelphimorphia, Didelphidae. The record is from RefSeq and is a predicted model, not a curated record.